Molecule: long non-coding RNA, 475 nt
Filed under: Homo sapiens (human)
Lineage: Eukaryota; Metazoa; Chordata; Mammalia; Primates; Hominidae
Description: HSALNT0336561
Source: RNAcentral
CUAGGACACACACCACCAGAGGGCUUCCAGCCUUUCCAGUCCCACCUUGCAGCACGCCAUCAGAGUCCUAAAAGCAAAACCAUCUUGAGGACCUUACACCCUCACUGGAGACACAGCCCUGUCUCAUUGUCAGACCAAAGAGGAAUCUGUGUGUCCCAAGUUUUUAGUUCAAAAAUAUAUUCAUUAUAUGCAGGCAAAAUGCAGCGAUUGUUAUAGUGAAGAAUCCAGGGCCUGCCUUGUUUGAGAGUUUGGUGGGAGAGCAGCAGAAGUCAGGGUCUAGCAAGGAUCUCACUUGUCAGCAGAAAUGAGCCAUCUGGUUGCUGCCCUGAGAGCCCAUCUUACACAAAUGUCACCGCUUUCCACAUUCACAACGGACCAUUUCCUUACCAGCCAGGAGAAGCCAAUUAUAUUUGUCAAAUAACAAGAGCAAAGUACAUUUUUGCAAGUCAGUCGUCUUGUCUAUAAUCAACUCAAC